AAACUCAAAGGAAUUGACGGGGACCCGCACAAGCGGUGGAUGAUGUGGAUUAAUUCGAUGCAACGCGAAAACCUUACCUACCCUUGACAUGUCUGGAAUCCCGAAGAGAUUUGGGAGUGCUCGCAAGAGAACCGGAACACAGGUGCUGCAUGGCUGUCGUCAGCUCGUGUCGUGAGAUGUUGGGUUAAGUCCCGCAACGAGCGCAACCCUUGCCAUUAGUUGCUACAUUCAGUUGGGCACUCUAAUGGGACUGCCGGUGACAAACCGGAGGAAGGUGGGGAUGACGUCAAGUCCUCAUGGCCCUUAUGGGUAGGGCUUCACACGUCAUACAAUGGUCGGGACAGAGGGUUGCCAAGCCGCGAGGUGGAGCCAAUCUCAGAAACCCGAUCGUAGUCCGGAUCGCAGUCUGCAACUCGACUGCGUGAAGUCGGAAUCGCUAGUAAUCGCGGAUCAGCAUGUCGCGGUGAAUACGUUCCCGGGUCUUGUACACACCGCCCGUCACACCAUGGGAGUGGGUUUCACCAGAAGUAGGUAGCCUAACCGUAAGGGGGGCGCUUACCACGGUGAGAUUCAUGACU
Molecule: ribosomal RNA, 578 nt
Filed under: uncultured Castellaniella sp.
Lineage: Bacteria; Pseudomonadati; Pseudomonadota; Betaproteobacteria; Burkholderiales; Alcaligenaceae
Description: bacterial SSU rRNA
Rfam family: Bacterial small subunit ribosomal RNA
Source: RNAcentral